UUAUUGGGCGUAAAGAGCUCGUAGGCGGUUUGUCGCGUCUGUCGUGAAAGUCCGGGGCUUAMCCYCGGAUCUGCGGUGGGUACGGGCAGACUAGAGUGCAGUAGGGGAGACUGGAAUUCCUGGUGUAGCGGUGGAAUGCGCAGAUAUCAGGAGGAACACCGAUGGCGAAGGCAGGUCUCUGGGCUGUAACUGACGCUGAGGAGCGAAAGCAUGGGGAGCGAACAGGAUUAGAUACCCUGGUAGUCCAUGCCGUAAACGUUGGGCACUAGGUGUGGGGACCAUUCCACGGUUUCCGCGCCGCAGCUAACGCAUUAAGUGCCCCGCCUGGGGAGUACGGCCGCAAGGCUAAAACUCAAAGGAAUUGACGGGGGCCCGCACAAGCGGCGGAGCAUGCGGAUUAAUUCGAUGCAACGCGAAGAACCUUACCAAGGCUUGACAUGUUCUCGAUCGCCGUAGAGAUACGGUUUCCCCUUUGGGGCGGGUUCACAGGUGGUGCAUGGUUGUCGUCAGCUCGUGUCGUGAGAUGUUGGGUUAAGUCCCGCAACGAGCGCAACCCUCGUUCCAUGUUGCCAGCACGUAAUGGUGGGGACUCAUGGGAGACUGCCGGGGUCAACUCGGAGGAAGGUGAGGACGACGUCAAAUCAUCAUGCCCCUUAUGUCUUGGGCUUCACGCAUGCUACAAUGGCCGGUACAAUGGGUUGCGAUACUGUGAGGUGGAGCUAAUCCCAAAAAGCCGGUCUCAGUUCGGAUUGGGGUCUGCAACUCGACCCCAUGAAGUCGGAGUCGCUAGUAAUCGMAGAUCAKCAACGCUGCGGUGAAUACGUUCCCGGGCCUUGUACA
RNAcentral lists this ribosomal RNA (840 nucleotides) under Micrococcineae bacterium AO21. RNAcentral describes it as "bacterial SSU rRNA". It matches the Rfam family "Bacterial small subunit ribosomal RNA", at positions 551 to 1387 of the family's 1533-position model. The record is from RNAcentral. Lineage: Bacteria; Bacillati; Actinomycetota; Actinomycetes; Micrococcales.